This is a long non-coding RNA of Gallus gallus (chicken), 4142 nucleotides long. RefSeq lists it as uncharacterized. NCBI's taxonomy places the organism in Eukaryota, Metazoa, Chordata, Aves, Galliformes, Phasianidae. The record is from RefSeq and is a predicted model, not a curated record. The transcript has 9 exons.
AGCAGCUUUGGGGCUGAGGCCUUGACCGCUUCCCUCAGACCUGCAGGAGCAAGGCAAGGUGACAAACGCCGGGCUGCUGCAGAUGAAAAACCCUUCCUAAAAAAUGAAGUUAAAAUUGAAGCUGACCUGAGUUUAAAAGCAAUUUUCUGAGAAUGCGGAGGCAUGAGGGGAAGUGCUUGAAUAUGCUGUUAAGUGGGGUUGUGAAUGUGGGAGCUGGUCAGCAGCAGGGAAGAGGUGCUGGGGGGGCCCUGCCAUGCGCCUGGAGCACGUCUCUCUCCAUCAUGGAGCAUGCUUCGUGUGACCGCUGAAUUCUGCCUGGAUAAAUGGAUUUUAGAAGAACAUAUGUAAUUUUUGAAACUACUUGACAAGGUAGUAAUAAAUCUGCCAGCAUUCCUACUUUGACCAAUGCUGAGCUGUAAUUCGGGCUUCAUUUCAAUACCUAAUGCCAUUCUGGGGUGGAAAGAGACCAUCCUAGCUUUGGAAUUAGAUUUCUCUACAACAAGUAUUAUACUCAACCCUGUAUCACUGCCUUUGAGGAACAGAAGUAUUUAAAAUCCUCUGUAAUGCAAUAAGCCUGAGCUCCAGCUAAGCAUGUGCUGUGCUGGUAUAAUGCUGGGCUGGUGGCGGCUCUUGUUAUGAUAUCGAACGUGAGGUAAACACAGGGCUUUUUUCAGGAGUAAUUAAUAAUUUAACCUCUGUGAAGUAGAGGUGGCACUUCAUUUAUCCCAAGUGUUCUUUGAUUUUUCUCUGUGGCCCAUUUCAGCUGGCAUGUCUGUCUCCCCUUCUCAUCCAUGCUGGCUGGCUUCAUAAUAAGCUUUUUCAGCAAAGUCCAGCUUUUUUUAUUUUUCAGAUAGCACUAAGCUUUUAUUUCACAUAAAAAUAAUUGUGUCUUACUGUAAAAGACACCCUCUGUUGAGCAGACCGCUGGUGUGAUAGGGAGCUGCAGCCCCUGCAAUCACUGCUGCAAAGCAGUACCCACUUUGCUACGCACAGCUCCUGGACCAGACCACGGAGUAUGCAUGUCUCUCUGUCUACCUUUGUGUGAAGCUAAAAAGAAUCUGUAGAGGAACUGUUAGAACAAGGCUUGAACUGGUGAUUGAGCACCUGAUGAAGGGCUGUGGCUGCCCAGGGAGCACAGGCAAAUUGUUUGCACCUGUGCUCUCCAAGCAACAGAAAGGGGUGCAACCACCCUGGACUCAUAUAAGGGCUAGCCAGGGAAGGGAGAGUGUUUCUUGAAGCUAGGUUGCUUGUUGAGGGGGAGUACUGUAUAGCCAGAGAUCCUCUUCUCCAGUUGACAAAGUCUUGGGCCUGCCUGACUUUAUGAGGCAUGAACCCGUACCCUAUGUGCAGAGUGCUAUAGCAGUUCACCAACCUGAUGUCUUUGUGCUGGACUAAGUCUUCUUGGUAGCUGUAACUUGUCUAGAUCUGCACCAAAGCAAGGUCUCAAGUGCCUCUUCAAAUACAAGUCCAAAUGACAGGAGUCCAGGAGUUUGGGAGUUAUUAGAGAGUGGUGGAGCCUAUGUGUGUGGGGACAUUUGCGUGUGUAAUGUGGUGCAAAGGCUGCUCGAUUUUGGUGUUGGUCUUCGAGCCAAAGUGUUUCCUGUGGGCCUCCUCCUUUGAAACAACAACUCUGCACCAGGAGCUUCUGCAGAAGGGGAAAAAUACUGCUUUGACUUUCAGUUUUCAUCGAAGACCUUGAAACACUCCUUGAUUAGGCAGGUGUUAUUAAUCUUGUGUUGUCUGACAUUAAACCUCAGACAGGUGUGCAAAGUCAAAUUCAGUGCUAUGGUAUGCUGGCUGUCACCGCUGGUCUCCAAGCCAAAGUGUUCUGGUUAAGACAUCUUCUGGCAACGGUAGUCAUGGAACUAUCUGCUUCUUACUAAAGAUGUAAUGGAGUUGAGGAAGCCAGCGGGAUUCUGCUCAUGAUGCUUUCUAAAGGAUUCAGUCUGUGCACCAGUUUAGCUCUGCUGGAAAUCCCCCCUGCUCCAGCUCAUUGCUCUGGGUUCAAGGACUGCCUAACCACAGGGGCUCCUGCGGUGAAUGGAAACUGCUCAGCAGUCAGGGACACAGAGAGAGGUGUGUAAGAAGUGACAACUUUGGAAACAGUAAUGCUGGUUUGCUACCGUCCUGGAAAGCUCAGCUCUGCCCAGAGUUUGUAGCAGCAGCAGCCAUGAGAAACUCCCCUUUGCUUUAUAAAUGCCAAUCUGGAGCAUCACUUCCAAAAAAAUUCGCUCUGAAGUUCAGUGUCCAAGUCUGAAAAGUAGAAUCCUUAUAUGAAGUAAAUCCUUGUGCCUUACUUAAGAAGAGCAUCCUUAUACUUUCUGGGGUGCCUGCAGUUGUGGUGGUCUGGCUCCUGAGGUGAGGAGUGUGAACUGGAAAACACACUGGAGGCAGGAGAAGAGGAAUUUUGCUGAGGUUCAGGUAAAUCUUGUUCUUAAGCAUCCAUAUUGUCAGUUCUUAUUCUUUCCAGCAGUAAACGGGUACUGCUGAAGUGCUUUUUACCAGUAUUUCAUUCCACACAAUACUACGUACAUCAUCUAAACAUCUGUUUUAUGCACAUCUUCAGAAUUUCGUGACAAAGCAGAUUCCCCUGAGGUUGUACUUCCAAGCUGAUCCUUAGCUGCACCAUUAUUGUAUUAUUUUUUAGGUAUUUUUUUUCAAGUUGCAUUGAUAACAUUAUUUGUUCUUUAGACAUAAGCUUUUGAAAAUCUAUUAUUUGAAGUCUACAAGCUAGAAAACAUAGACUGUCAUUCUAAAAAGUAAGAUUUUUGUGUUCUCUUUUGCAUGUUUAUGUUUUCCUGCAGUGGGGGUCAUUUCAACCUUGUUUAUCAGUGCUCUAGGGAAGGAUUUGCCCAGAUCUUGUGAUCUCUUUUUCUCAGAGAGGGAAACAUACAGGAGUUCUGGUACAAAGCUAAUUGUGCUGCUCGCUGAGACUUUUUGCCCUGGAUUUAGGGUUUGCUUGCUGUUUGCCAUGUGCCAGGGAAGAAGUCUGAAUUGUGCUGCUUACACUGUUCUCUGCUUGUGCUGGACAAAGGUUCGUUUCAAAUGCAAAGCAUAUGAGAUUGACUGGAAUAUUGUUGUAUGGGUCUCUAUUAAAUGAGGAAGUCUCUGUUUUAACUCUUCGUAGUGGAACUUGUAAGAACUAAACCAGCUCUGUUCCAAAGGCUCCUUCUCUUUCAUGGAUUAUAAUAUUUUAUUCAUGUGACAGUAGUCCCAUAAGGUUCCACAUGAACAUCUCUUCCUUUCCUCAGCAUUGUUAAUUUUAAAGGAUUUACUAAUUUUGGAUUUAGCAUUGGAUGGUGCCCUUGAUAAAACUCCAUGAGAAGUAUUAUUUACAUUAAAGGUUUCUGUUUCCUACUGAAAUCAGUGGAGAUGAGUCACAAAAGUGCAAAGAUGGCAAAAAGCCAGCAUUUGUGAAGAUUGAGCUCUUUAUCUUCCUUCUCCAGAGCUCCUUGCAGGAACAGCUCCAGCGGUUGUCCUGGAAGCGGUGUCAUUGUCACACAUUCAAUACAACCUUCCCUUUUAACAGAAGACAUGCGUUUCUUUAUCUCUCUAAUUAAAGCUUAGACUUCAAAACAUCAUGCAUUGUCUGUGGCUCCAGCCAUCUUCUUUUAGAAGAAGAAUAACCCUUUCUUUUUUUUGGGGGAAAAAAGUCUCAAUGCCAUCUCUAUACCUCAUGGAUUUUGAAGUCAGCACAUGAACAUUGUGAAUUGCAUAAAUCCAGUGGAUGUUUCGUGCUUCAACACAAAAACUUGUCACCCAGGACAUUAUUGCCCGAGGCUGGGAACAGAGAAGCUGCAAGUCCCUGCCAGACGCACUGCAGACAUACUGAUAGAUCUCUGCAAUGUAUUUUUUACUGUCCAAAUACUAGCUUCAUAAGUUCAUGUAAAAGUCAAGCAAUAAAAAUAUCUCCACACCAGGCUAAGGGUAUUCAUAUCCUUUCUCUUCAGUCAAAUACAAAUGAUCGUGCUCAUUUAAAAACCUCCCUGCUGUGGUGCCCCAGCCUAUUUCUCUUAUCUUAUGACUAACAAUGCUCAUUGUCCUGCUCUUGCUAUUUUGAGGAUGCUAAAGGUGGAGAGCUUUCUGCUUUUUCAUUUCUGUGUCCUGCUCCUGGAUAUGCUGUCUGACAUAUUUUUUCUAAG